RNAcentral lists this ribosomal RNA (1120 nucleotides) under Bacillus subtilis. RNAcentral's name for it is "bacterial SSU rRNA". It matches the Rfam family "Bacterial small subunit ribosomal RNA", at positions 35 to 1143 of the family's 1533-position model. The record is from RNAcentral. Lineage: Bacteria; Bacillati; Bacillota; Bacilli; Caryophanales; Bacillaceae.
GCAUGGGGGUGCUAUAAUGCAAGUCGAGCGGACCGACGGGAGCUUGCUCCCUUAGGUCAGCGGCGGACGGGUGAGUAACACGUGGGUAACCUGCCUGUAAGACUGGGAUAACUCCGGGAAACCGGGGCUAAUACCGGAUGCUUGAUUGAACCGCAUGGUUCAAUCAUAAAAGGUGGCUUUUAGCUACCACUUACAGAUGGACCCGCGGCGCAUUAGCUAGUUGGUGAGGUAACGGCUCACCAAGGCGACGAUGCGUAGCCGACCUGAGAGGGUGAUCGGCCACACUGGGACUGAGACACGGCCCAGACUCCUACGGGAGGCAGCAGUAGGGAAUCUUCCGCAAUGGACGAAAGUCUGACGGAGCAACGCCGCGUGAGUGAUGAAGGUUUUCGGAUCGUAAAACUCUGUUGUUAGGGAAGAACAAGUACCGUUCGAAUAGGGCGGUACCUUGACGGUACCUAACCAGAAAGCCACGGCUAACUACGUGCCAGCAGCCGCGGUAAUACGUAGGUGGCAAGCGUUGUCCGGAAUUAUUGGGCGUAAAGCGCGCGCAGGCGGUUUCUUAAGUCUGAUGUGAAAGCCCCCGGCUCAACCGGGGAGGGUCAUUGGAAACUGGGGAACUUGAGUGCAGAAGAGGAGAGUGGAAUUCCACGUGUAGCGGUGAAAUGCGUAGAGAUGUGGAGGAACACCAGUGGCGAAGGCGACUCUCUGGUCUGUAACUGACGCUGAGGCGCGAAAGCGUGGGGAGCGAACAGGAUUAGAUACCCUGGUAGUCCACGCCGUAAACGAUGAGUGCUAAGUGUUAGAGGGUUUCCGCCCUUUAGUGCUGCAGCAAACGCAUUAAGCACUCCGCCUGGGGAGUACGGUCGCAAGACUGAAACUCAAAGGAAUUGACGGGGGCCCGCACAAGCGGUGGAGCAUGUGGUUUAAUUUCGAAGCAACGCGGAAGAACCUUACCAGGUCUUGACAUCCUCUGACAAACCCUAGAGAUAGGGCUUUCCCCUUCGGGGGCAGAGUGACAGUGUGCAUGGAUUGUCGUCAGCUCGUGUCGUGAGAUGUUGGGAUAGUCCCGCACGAGCGCAAGCUGAAUCUAUUGCAGCAUUCAGUUGGGCACGUCUAA